UGGGGAAUAUUGGACAAUGGGCGAAAGCCUGAUCCAGCCAUGCCGCGUGUGUGAAGAAGGUCUUCGGAUUGUAAAGCACUUUAAGUUGGGAGGAAGGGCAGUAAGCGAAUACCUUGCUGUUUUGACGUUACCGACAGAAUAAGCACCGGCUAACUCUGUGCCAGCAGCCGCGGUAAUACAGAGGGUGCAAGCGUUAAUCGGAAUUACUGGGCGUAAAGCGCGCGUAGGUGGUUCGUUAAGUUGAAUGUGAAAGCCCCGGGCUCAACCUGGGAACUGCAUCCAAAUCUGGCGAGCUAGAGUAUGGCAGAGGGUGGUGUAAUUUCCUGUGUAGCGGUGAAAUGCGUAGAUAUAGGAAGGAACACCAGUGGCUAAGGCGACCACCUGGGCUCAUACUGACACUGAGGUGCGAAAGCGUGGGGAGCAAACAGG
Molecule: ribosomal RNA, 429 nt
Filed under: Pseudomonadota bacterium
Lineage: Bacteria; Pseudomonadati; Pseudomonadota
Description: Proteobacteria bacterium partial 16S ribosomal RNA
Rfam family: Bacterial small subunit ribosomal RNA
Source: RNAcentral